CCUCUGCGGCACCGAAGGAAGCGCUUUGCUGCUGUACACUGGGCCUAUACUGCUGAUAGCUGUGCUCGCCGUACCUUACCUUCUCCUUUCUGGAGGAGACGACGACGACGUUGUCGCUGAAAAGAAGAAGAGUCCCCGCCUCCGUCUAGGGACAUUCCCGGUGUUGGUGGACGGCGUGUUUGGGGG
Eucalyptus grandis is the source of this 186-nucleotide long non-coding RNA. RefSeq lists it as uncharacterized. The transcript is spliced from 3 exons. The record is from RefSeq and is a predicted model, not a curated record. Lineage: Eukaryota; Viridiplantae; Streptophyta; Magnoliopsida; Myrtales; Myrtaceae.